This 150-nucleotide ribosomal RNA is filed under the name uncultured soil bacterium. RNAcentral's name for it is "partial 16S ribosomal RNA". It matches the Rfam family "Bacterial small subunit ribosomal RNA", at positions 25 to 166 of the family's 1533-position model. The record is from RNAcentral.
CAGAUUGAACGCUGGCGGCAUGCCUUACACAUGCAAGUCGAACGGCAGCACGGGAGCAAUCCUGGUAGGCGAGUGGCGAACGGGUGAGUAAUAGUAAUCCGGAACGUGCCCGAAGUCGUGGGGGAUAAACGGCAGCGAAAGCUGUGCUAA